This is a non-coding RNA of Pelobates cultripes (western spadefoot toad), 75 nucleotides long. The record is from the annotation of a GenBank genome assembly. NCBI's taxonomy places the organism in Eukaryota, Metazoa, Chordata, Amphibia, Anura, Pelobatidae.
GCUCUGGACGCAAGUAAUCAAGAAUAGGCUGGAUCGAGACAAGACAGCCUAUCCUGGAUUACUUGAAACCAGCAC